GUGUCGGUGGUAUAACGGUUAGCAUAGCUGCCCCCCCCCAAGCAGUUGAUCCGGGUUCAACUCCCGGCCGACACG
Molecule: transfer RNA, 75 nt
Filed under: Stegodyphus mimosarum
Lineage: Eukaryota; Metazoa; Arthropoda; Arachnida; Araneae; Eresidae
Rfam family: tRNA
About the family: Transfer RNA (tRNA) molecules are approximately 80 nucleotides in length. Their secondary structure includes four short double-helical elements and three loops (D, anti-codon, and T loops). Further hydrogen bonds mediate the characteristic L-shaped molecular structure. tRNAs have two regions of fundamental functional importance: the anti-codon, which is responsible for specific mRNA codon recognition, and the 3' end, to which the tRNAs corresponding amino acid is attached (by aminoacyl-tRNA synthetases). tRNAs cope with the degeneracy of the genetic code in two manners: having more than one tRNA (with a specific anti-codon) for a particular amino acid; and 'wobble' base-pairing, i.e. permitting non-standard base-pairing at the 3rd anti-codon position.
Source: Rfam by way of RNAcentral